CGGAGGGCAGCAGGCGCGCAAAUUGCCCAAUGUCAAAAAAAAACGAUGAGGCAGCGAAAAGAAAUAGAACCGGCAGUGCCACUGGCAUUGCCGUUUUCAAUGGGGGAUAUUUAAACCCAUCCAAAAUCGAGUAUCAAUUGGAGGACAAGUCUGGUGCCAGCACCCGCGGUAAUUCCAGCUCCAAAAGCGUAUAUUA
This 196-nucleotide ribosomal RNA is filed under the name Trypanosoma vegrandis. RNAcentral's name for it is "partial small subunit ribosomal RNA". It matches the Rfam family "Eukaryotic small subunit ribosomal RNA", at positions 419 to 606 of the family's 1831-position model. Lineage: Eukaryota; Euglenozoa; Kinetoplastea; Trypanosomatida; Trypanosomatidae. The record is from RNAcentral.